This 2747-nucleotide ribosomal RNA is filed under the name Salmonella enterica subsp. enterica serovar Typhimurium. Its description in RNAcentral is "partial 23S ribosomal RNA". It matches the Rfam family "Bacterial large subunit ribosomal RNA". Lineage: Bacteria; Pseudomonadati; Pseudomonadota; Gammaproteobacteria; Enterobacterales; Enterobacteriaceae. The record is from RNAcentral.
CCGAAUGGGGAAACCCAGUGUGAUUCGUCACACUAUCAUUAACUGAAUCCAUAGGUUAAUGAGGCGAACCGGGGGAACUGAAACAUCUAAGUACCCCGAGGAAAAGAAAUCAACCGAGAUUCCCCCAGUAGCGGCGAGCGAACGGGGAGGAGCCCAGAGCCUGAAUCAGCAUGUGUGUUAGUGGAAGCGUCUGGAAAGGCGCGCGAUACAGGGUGACAGCCCCGUACACAAAAGCGCAUGUGCUGUGAGCUCGAUGAGUAGGGCGGGACACGUGGUAUCCUGUCUGAAUAUGGGGGGACCAUCCUCCAAGGCUAAAUACUCCUGACUGACCGAUAGUGAACCAGUACCGUGAGGGAAAGGCGAAAAGAACCCCGGCGAGGGGAGUGAAAAAGAACCUGAAACCGUGUACGUACAAGCAGUGGGAGCACAGGUUUACCUGUGUGACUGCGUACCUUUUGUAUAAUGGGUCAGCGACUUAUAUUCUGUAGCAAGGUUAACCGAAUAGGGGAGCCGGAGGGAAACCGAGUCUUAAUUGGGCGUUAAGUUGCAGGGUAUAGACCCGAAACCCGGUGAUCUAGCCAUGGGCAGGUUGAAGGUUGGGUAACACUAACUGGAGGACCGAACCGACUAAUGUUGAAAAAUUAGCGGAUGACCUGUGGCUGGGGGUGAAAGGCCAAUCAAACCGGGAGAUAGCUGGUUCUCCCCGAAAGCUAUUUAGGUAGCGCCUCGUGAAUUCAUCUCCGGGGGUAGAGCACUGUUUCGGCUAGGGGGCCAUCCCGGCUUACCAACCCGAUGCAAACUGCGAAUACCGGAGAAUGUUAUCACGGGAGACACACGGCGGGUGCUAACGUCCGUCGUGAAGAGGGAAACAACCCAGACCGCCAGCUAAGGUCCCAAAGUCAUGGUUAAGUGGGAAACGAUGUGGGAAGGCCCAGACAGCCAGGAUGUUGGCUUAGAAGCAGCCAUCAUUUAAAGAAAGCGUAAUAGCUCACUGGUCGAGUCGGCCUGCGCGGAAGAUGUAACGGGGCUAAACCAUGCACCGAAGCUGCGGCAGCGANNUGCUGGAGGUAUCAGAAGUGCGAAUGCUGACAUAAGUAACGAUAAAGCGGGUGAAAAGCCCGCUCGCCGGAAGACCAAGGGUUCCUGUCCAACGUUAAUCGGGGCAGGGUGAGUCGACCCCUAAGGCGAGGCCGAAAGGCGUAGUCGAUGGGAAACGGGUUAAUAUUCCCGUACUUGGUGUUACUGCGAAGGGGGGACGGAGAAGGCUAUGUUGGCCGGGCGACGGUUGUCCCGGUUUAAGCGUGUAGGUGUGUGUUCCAGGUAAAUCCGGUUCACUUUAACACUGAGGCGUGACGACGAGGCACUACGGUGCUGAAGCAACAAAUGCCCUGCUUCCAGGAAAAGCCUCUAAGCAUCAGGUAACACGAAAUCGUACCCCAAACCGACACAGGUGGUCAGGUAGAGAAUACCAAGGCGCUUGAGAGAACUCGGGUGAAGGAACUAGGCAAAAUGGUGCCGUAACUUCGGGAGAAGGCACGCUGACACGUAGGUGAAGUGAUUUACUCAUGGAGCUGAAGUCAGUCGAAGAUACCAGCUGGCUGCAACUGUUUAUUAAAAACACAGCACUGUGCAAACACGAAAGUGGACGUAUACGGUGUGACGCCUGCCCGGUGCCGGAAGGUUAAUUGAUGGGGUCAGCGCAAGCGAAGCUCCUGAUCGAAGCCCCGGUAAACGGCGGCCGUAACUAUAACGGUCCUAAGGUAGCGAAAUUCCUUGUCGGGUAAGUUCCGACCUGCACGAAUGGCGUAAUGAUGGCCAGGCUGUCUCCACCCGAGACUCAGUGAAAUUGAACUCGCUGUGAAGAUGCAGUGUACCCGCGGCAAGACGGAAAGACCCCGUGAACCUUUACUAUAGCUUGACACUGAACAUUGAGCCUUGAUGUGUAGGAUAGGUGGGAGGCUUUGAAGUGUGGACGCCAGUCUGCAUGGAGCCGACCUUGAAAUACCACCCUUUAAUGUUUGAUGUUCUAACGUGGACCCGUAAUCCGGGUUGCGGACAGUGUCUGGUGGGUAGUUUGACUGGGGCGGUCUCCUCCUAAAGAGUAACGGAGGAGCACGAAGGUUGGCUAAUCCUGGUCGGACAUCAGGAGGUUAGUGCAAUGGCAUAAGCCAGCUUGACUGCGAGCGUGACGGCGCGAGCAGGUGCGAAAGCAGGUCAUAGUGAUCCGGUGGUUCUGAAUGGAAGGGCCAUCGCUCAACGGAUAAAAGGUACUCCGGGGAUAACAGGCUGAUACCGCCCAAGAGUUCAUAUCGACGGCGGUGUUUGGCACCUCGAUGUCGGCUCAUCACAUCCUGGGGCUGAAGUAGGUCCCAAGGGUAUGGCUGUUCGCCAUUUAAAGUGGUACGCGAGCUGGGUUUAGAACGUCGUGAGACAGUUCGGUCCCUAUCUGCCGUGGGCGCUGGAGAACUGAGGGGGGCUGCUCCUAGUACGAGAGGACCGGAGUGGACGCAUCACUGGUGUUCGGGUUGUCAUGCCAAUGGCACUGCCCGGUAGCUAAAUGCGGAAGAGAUAAGUGCUGAAAGCAUCUAAGCACGAAACUUGCCCCGAGAUGAGUUCUCCCUGAGACUUAGAGUCUCCUGAAGGAACGUUGAAGACGACGACGUUGAUAGGCCGGGUGUGUAAGCGCAGCGAUGCGUUGAGCUAACCGGUACUAAUGAACCGUGAGGCUUAACCUUACAACGCCGAAG